GACGAACGCUGGCGGCGUGCUUAACACAUGCAAGUCGAACGGAAAGGCCCUGCUUUUGUGGGGUGCUCGAGUGGCGAACGGGUGAGUAACACGUGAGUAACCUGCCCUUGACUUUGGGAUAACUUCAGGAAACUGGGGCUAAUACCGGAUAGGAGCUCCUGCUGCAUGGUGGGGGUUGGAAAGUUUCGGCGGUUGGGGUUGGACUCGUGGCUUAUCAGCUUGUUGGUGGGGUAGUGGCUUACCAAGGCUUUGACGGGUAGCCGGCCUGGGAGGGUGACCGGCCACGUUGGAACUGAGAUGCGACCCAGACUCCUACGGGAGGCAGCAGUGGGGAAUGUUGCACAAUGGGCGGAAGCCUGAUGCAGCAACGCCGCGUGCGGGAUAACGGCCUUCGGGUUGUAAACCGCUUUCGCCUGUGACGAAGCGUGAGUGACGGUAAUGGGUAAAGAAGCACCGGCUAACUACGUG
RNAcentral lists this ribosomal RNA (468 nucleotides) under uncultured bacterium. RNAcentral describes it as "partial 16S ribosomal RNA". It matches the Rfam family "Bacterial small subunit ribosomal RNA", at positions 28 to 507 of the family's 1533-position model. The record is from RNAcentral.